RNAcentral lists this ribosomal RNA (1485 nucleotides) under uncultured soil bacterium. RNAcentral's name for it is "bacterial SSU rRNA". It matches the Rfam family "Bacterial small subunit ribosomal RNA". The record is from RNAcentral.
GAGUUUGAUCAUGGCUCAGGACGAACGCUGGCGGCGUGCUUAACACAUGCAAGUCGAACGGAAAGGCCCUGCUUUUGUGGGGUGCUCGAGUGGCGAACGGGUGAGUAACACGUGAGUAACCUGCCCUUGACUUUGGGAUAACUUCAGGAAACUGGGGCUAAUACCGGAUAGGAGCUCCUGCUGCAUGGUGGGGGUUGGAAAGUUUCGGCGGUUGGGGAUGGACUCGCGGCUUAUCAGCUUGUUGGUGGGGUAGUGGCUUACCAAGGCUUUGACGGGUAGCCGGCCUGAGAGGGUGACCGGCCACAUUGGGACUGAGAUACGGCCCAGACUCCUACGGGAGGCAGCAGUGGGGAAUAUUGCACAAUGGGCGGAAGCCUGAUGCAGCAACGCCGCGUGCGGGAUGACGGCCUUCGGGUUGUAAACCGCUUUCGCCUGUGACGAAGCGUGAGUGACGGUAAUGGGUAAAGAAGCACCGGCUAACUACGUGCCAGCAGCCGCGGUGAUACGUAGGGUGCGAGCGUUGUCCGGAUUUAUUGGGCGUAAAGGGCUCGUAGGUGGUUGAUCGCGUCGGAAGUGUAAUCUUGGGGCUUAACCCUGAGCGUGCUUUCGAUACGGGUUGACUUGAGGAAGGUAGGGGAGAAUGGAAUUCCUGGUGGAGCGGUGGAAUGCGCAGAUAUCAGGAGGAACACCAGUGGCGAAGGCGGUUCUCUGGGCCUUGACUGACGCUCAGGUGCGAAAGCGUGGGGAGCGAACAGGCUUAGAUACCCUGGUAGUCCACGCUGUAAACGGUGGGUACUAGGUGUGGGGUCCAUUCCACGGGUUCCGUGCCGUAGCUAACGCUUUAAGUACCCCGCCUGGGGAGUACGGCCGCAAGGCUAAAACUCAAAGGAAUUGACGGGGCCCCGCACAAGCGGCGGAGCAUGCGGAUUAAUUCGAUGCAACGCGUAGAACCUUACCUGGGUUUGACAUGGAUCGGGAGUGCUCAGAGAUGGGUGUGCCUCUUUUGGGGUCGGUUCACAGGUGGUGCAUGGCUGUCGUCAGCUCGUGUCGUGAGAUGUUGGGUUAAGUCCCGCAACGAGCGCAACCCUUGUUCACUGUUGCCAGCACGUUAUGGUGGGGACUCAGUGGAGACCGCCGGGGUCAACUCGGAGGAAGGUGGGGAUGACGUCAAGUCAUCAUGCCCCUUAUGUCCAGGGCUUCACGCAUGCUACAAUGGCUGGUACAGAGAGUGGCGAGCCUGUGAGGGUGAGCGAAUCUCGGAAAGCCGGUCUCAGUUCGGAUUGGGGUCUGCAACUCGACCUCAUGAAGUCGGAGUCGCUAGUAAUCGCAGAUCAGCAACGCUGCGGUGAAUACGUUCCCGGGGCUUGUACACACCGCCCGUCAAGUCAUGAAAGUUGGUAACACCCGAAGCCGGUGGCCUAACCGUUGUGGGGGAGCCGUCGAAGGUGGGACUGGUGAUUAGGACUAAGUCGUAACAAGGUAACC